AUUUAUAUAGUUUAAUAAAACAUUACAUUUUCAUUGUAAAAAUAAAAUUAUUUUUUUUUGUAAAUU
This 66-nucleotide transfer RNA is filed under the name Vermiophis taishanensis. Its description in RNAcentral is "tRNA-Glu". The record is from RNAcentral. Lineage: Eukaryota; Metazoa; Arthropoda; Insecta; Diptera; Vermileonidae.